This 384-nucleotide RNase P RNA is filed under the name Gammaproteobacteria bacterium. RNAcentral describes it as "RNase P RNA component class A". It matches the Rfam family "Bacterial RNase P class A". Rfam says of the family: Ribonuclease P (RNase P) is a ubiquitous endoribonuclease, found in archaea, bacteria and eukarya as well as chloroplasts and mitochondria. Its best characterised activity is the generation of mature 5'-ends of tRNAs by cleaving the 5'-leader elements of precursor-tRNAs. Cellular RNase Ps are ribonucleoproteins. The record is from RNAcentral. Lineage: Bacteria; Pseudomonadati; Pseudomonadota; Gammaproteobacteria.
CAAGUCAGCUGGGCAAUUGCCGCUUAUUCGGUGCAGACUACUUUUGUAAGCUGUGAUGAUGAGGGGAGGAAAGUCCGGGCUCCAUAGAGCAGGGUGCCAGGUAACGCCUGGGGGGUGAGAACUCACGGCCAGUGCAACAGAAAAUAUACCGCCUUGAUUUAACUUUUGUUAUCGAUAGGUAAGGGUGAAAUGGUGCGGUAAGAGCGCACCGCGCGGCUGGUAACAGCUUGCGGCUCUGUAAACCCCACCCGGAGUAAGGCCAAAUAGGGAUCUAAUAAUGUUGCUCGCAUUGGAUUCGGGUAGGCCGCUUCAGAUCUGCGGUGACGCAGUUCGUAGAUGAAUAAUUGUCCUCGACAGAACCCGGCUUAUAGGCUGACUUUCUUU